UACGGGAGGCAGCAGUGGGGAAUAUUGCACAAUGGGCGCAAGCCUGAUGCAGCCAUGCCGCGUGUAUGAAGAAGGCCUUCGGGUUGUAAAGUACUUUCAGCAGUGAGGAAGGUGGAUAUGUUAAUAGCAUAUUCAUUUGACGUUAGCUGCAGAAGAAGCACCGGCUAACUCCGUGCCAGCAGCCGCGGUAAUACGGAGGGUGCGAGCGUUAAUCGGAAUUACUGGGCGUAAAGCGCAUGCAGGUGGUUUGUUAAGUCAGAUGUGAAAGCCCGGGGCUCAACCUCGGAAUUGCAUUUGAAACUGGCAAACUAGAGUACUGUAGAGGGGGUAGAAUUUCAGGUGUAGCGGUGAAAUGCGUAGAGAUCUGAAGGAAUACCGGUGGCGAAGGCGGCCCCCUGGACAGAUACUGACACUCAGAUGCGAAAGCGUGGGGAGCAAACAGGAUUAGAUACCCUGGUAG
This 460-nucleotide ribosomal RNA is filed under the name uncultured bacterium. Its description in RNAcentral is "bacterial SSU rRNA". It matches the Rfam family "Bacterial small subunit ribosomal RNA", at positions 340 to 793 of the family's 1533-position model. The record is from RNAcentral.